CUUUUCUCUUUCUUUCCUUAAUCAAUUCGUAAACUGUAUUAGGAUAGUGCUUAAACCGUUAAUCGGUAGUACGCCCGUUACAUUACGAAUUGAUUCAUUGCGUUAACGCCCGAGUGCGUAGUUAAGGCCCGAGUGCCUAAGUUAGACCCCCAGGCCCGAGUGCCUAGUUAUCAGUUCUUACGCCUGAGUGCGUCGAUUACGUUAGAAGGCCUGAGUGCCCCCAUUGUUUAGUUAAACAGAUAGUUACACCUGAGCGUCCGCAGCACAGCGAAGUGCUCGCGAAGAGGUCCAAGUGCCUAUGAGCUGUAAUGCUGCGAAUAGUGUUCACAAAGAAGCUUACAAGCUUAGAGCCACAGUGCUGCAAAUAGCGUUCAUGAAGAGGCCAGCAUGCCUAUGAGUAUUCCUUUUUUUUUAUUUUACUGGUUAUAUAUGUCC
This 435-nucleotide small RNA is filed under the name Histoplasma capsulatum var. duboisii H88. RNAcentral describes it as "Histoplasma capsulatum H88 hypothetical RNA". The record is from RNAcentral. Lineage: Eukaryota; Fungi; Ascomycota; Eurotiomycetes; Onygenales; Ajellomycetaceae.